CCUACGGGAGGCAGCAGUGGGGAAUAUUGCGCAAUGGGCGAAAGCCUGACGCAGCGACGCCGCGUGCGGGAUGAAGGUCUUCGGAUCGUAAACCUCUGUCUGCAGGGAAGAACGGUCACUGUGCUAAUCAGCAUUGAAUUGACGGUACCUGCAAAGGAAGCAUCGGCUAACUCCGUGCCAGCAGCCGCGGUAAUACGGAGGGUCCGAGCGUUAAUCGGAAUUACUGGGCGUAAAGCGCUCGUAGGCGGUAUGUCAAGUCAAGGGUGAAAUCCCCGCGCUCAACGUGGGAACUGCCUUUGAAACUGGCAAACUUGAGUGGGUGAGAGGAUAGUGGAAUGCCAGGUGUAGGAGUGAAAUCCGUAGAUAUCUGGAGGAACAUCAGUGGCGAAGGCGACUAUCUGGAACAUAACUGACGCUGAGGAGCGAAGGCGUGGGUAGCAAACAGGAUUAGAUACCCCUGUAGUC
This 465-nucleotide ribosomal RNA is filed under the name uncultured bacterium. RNAcentral describes it as "partial 16S ribosomal RNA". It matches the Rfam family "Bacterial small subunit ribosomal RNA", at positions 338 to 795 of the family's 1533-position model. The record is from RNAcentral.